This 253-nucleotide ribosomal RNA is filed under the name uncultured bacterium. Its description in RNAcentral is "partial 16S ribosomal RNA". It matches the Rfam family "Bacterial small subunit ribosomal RNA", at positions 524 to 776 of the family's 1533-position model. The record is from RNAcentral.
UACGUAGGGGGCAAGCGUUGUCCGGAUUUACUGGGCGUAAAGAGCGUGUAGGCGGCCAUACAGGUCCGUUGUGAAAACUGGAGGCUCAACUUCCAGACGUCGACGGAAACCGUGUGGCUAGAGUCCGGAAGAGGAGAGUGGAAUUCCUGGUGUAGCGGUGAAAUGCGCAGAUAUCAGGAGGAACACCGGUGGCGAAGGCGGUUCUCUGGGCCUUACCUGACGCUGAGGAGCGAAAGCAUGGGGAGCAAACAGG